UGCUGAUUGAUGUAGUGGUUAGCAUAUCAGAUUCUGACGCAAUAUUCAGCGUUCUGGAUACCGGGGUUCGAAUCCCCGAUCGGCAU
Naganishia vaughanmartiniae is the source of this 86-nucleotide non-coding RNA. Lineage: Eukaryota; Fungi; Basidiomycota; Tremellomycetes; Filobasidiales; Filobasidiaceae. The record is from the annotation of a GenBank genome assembly.